GCCAGUACCCAACCGCCAGAGCUCCCCGGACGUGCAGACCCCCGCGGUCCUGCUGUUAUAGCCUCCACACGCCCCCCCACCCCACAGCCUGCGUUCAACAUUCCAGAAGCGUCUGCUCCCGCCGUCUCCUGGUGUCACGCACCCUGUCUUGGAAAGCCUCACCCCCUCAGUCACACGCUGUAUCUCACCCCAUGACGCCUUGCGGUUUCGAGUCUGGAUACCAUCCUUCCGCAUGGUCAGUGGUCGGUUCACCUGCCAAGAGGGAGGCCACAGGAACAACAGUGACGGCAACCGGUGUUUCAUGCUGACACAGACCCCAGGCCAAGCCUGUCCUGAGCACUUGCUCCGUGUAAAUUCAAUGGACACACGCGCCCACACGAGGCAUCCAACUCGGGUCCCCACAGAGCAGGGGUAAGAGCACCCAGUGGUGGCCCCAGGACUCCACAGGACGGAGCACCCUCCUGACCACCCAUUCUACAGAUGGGGAGACUGAGACCUGCCAAGGGCACA
Molecule: long non-coding RNA, 510 nt
Organism: Zalophus californianus (California sea lion)
Lineage: Eukaryota; Metazoa; Chordata; Mammalia; Carnivora; Otariidae
Exons: 3
Source: RefSeq, a predicted model, not a curated record